Nomascus leucogenys (northern white-cheeked gibbon) is the source of this 1118-nucleotide long non-coding RNA. RefSeq lists it as uncharacterized. The record is from RefSeq and is a predicted model, not a curated record. NCBI's taxonomy places the organism in Eukaryota, Metazoa, Chordata, Mammalia, Primates, Hylobatidae. The transcript is spliced from 3 exons.
GGCCCCAGGCUGGUGCCCGUCUCCUCUAAAGCUCGGGGGUCGGCGCAGCCUGGCAUCAUCGGGCCUGUUAUGCGGGUUCUGGUCUCUCUCUGCCCACAGACCCGCCAAGCUCACCAGCUAGUCAGUGUGCAGCCAGCACAGCAGGAGCGCGGCUUGCUAGGGCCCUCAGAACAAGCCGUGUGGCCCGAGGCCUUCACACAGGAUCUGUGCUGAGACCUCAAGGUGCUGGUGCCUCUGGCUGCUGCAUCAUUUACAGAGGAAUUGUCUGGGAUGUGCCAGGCCUAGCACUCUGGCUCUCGCUGGUGUGCGUGUCAGCACACUAGUGACAUGGCAGGUUCAGGUCGGUGGACAGACUGGACUUGGAAACACCUUCUUGUGUCCUCGAAACGACGUGGCGCACAGCCAGCUCACAGCACCCAAAAGCGCGGGCAAGUUGCAGCGCGGCAGCUCCUCCUGUCUGAGCAGGAGCAGGUGCGUUCCUGAGGUCCUGGCCACUUCUGCAGGAGCAUCUGAGGGAGCCCAGCUGAUUUACCACGACCCCUGACCUCCCAGGUUAGCCUUUCCGUCCAACAGCACCAGGACUGGACCCUGGCACUGGACAGGCCACCUUGGCUGAGGAUCGUGUGUGCCUGGGUCUGUGCGGUGCUGGUGCCCACAGGCCCUGGGUCUGUGUUGCACGGCCUUGGAAAGCAGUGCACAUCCUGUCUGCACCGUUCGUCUGUGGUGAAGCCAUCUUUGUCUGUGUGGCCAUGGGAGGGUCUGUGCUGUGUGUGCGUCGUGCGAGAGUCGGGAGCUGCUGCACCACACACAGGCACGCAGGGUGUGGGCACAUCUGUGCUUCUGAGCACGCGUGCCCUUGCCGGUGGCCAGGCACACACACAGCUGUGCAUCCUUGGCCCAAGAUCAGCUGUGCCACACCUGCAGGCUGCAAGAUCUUUUCUGUAUAUCUCCCUCCAUCACCAGAAGUAAGCUCAGGACGGAGGCUGACGGGCUGGCCUCAGCACUGCUCACCUGCACCUCCUGGCUGCACCUGUGGCCCCGGACUCGGCUUCCCCAUCUCUCUCCUCCCCACCCCACCUCUGGUUCUGUACCACAUCUGGGCUCAAUAAAUGGUUGAU